CAACUUUCGAUGGUACGGUACU
RNAcentral lists this unclassified non-coding RNA (22 nucleotides) under Dictyostelium discoideum. The record is from RNAcentral. Lineage: Eukaryota; Evosea; Eumycetozoa; Dictyosteliales; Dictyosteliaceae.